AGAGUUUGAUCCUGGCUCAGAUUGAACGCUGGCGGAAUGCUUUACACAUGCAAGUCGAACGGCAGCACGGGUGCUUGCACCUGGUGGCGAGUGGCGAACGGGUGAGUAAUGCGUCGGAACGUACCGAGUAAUGGGGGAUAACGCAGCGAAAGUUGUGCUAAUACCGCAUACGCCCUGAGGGGGAAAGUGGGGGACCGCAAGGCCUCACGUUAUUCGAGCGGCCGACGUCUGAUUAGCUAGUUGGUGGGGUAAAGGCCUACCAAGGCGACGAUCAGUAGCGGGUCUGAGAGGAUGAUCCGCCACACUGGGACUGAGACACGGCCCAGACUCCUACGGGAGGCAGCAGUGGGGAAUUUUGGACAAUGGGGGCAACCCUGAUCCAGCCAUUCCGCGUGAGUGAAGAAGGCCUUCGGGUUGUAAA
This 421-nucleotide ribosomal RNA is filed under the name uncultured bacterium. RNAcentral describes it as "bacterial SSU rRNA". It matches the Rfam family "Bacterial small subunit ribosomal RNA", at positions 8 to 429 of the family's 1533-position model. The record is from RNAcentral.